GAUGAACGCUGGCGGCGUGCCUAAUACAUGCAAGUCGAGCGAAUGGAUUAAGAGCUUGCUCUUAUGAAGUUAGCGGCGGACGGGUGAGUAACACGUGGGUAACCUGCCCAUAAGACUGGGAUAACUCCGGGAAACCGGGGCUAAUACCGGAUAACAUUUUGAACCGCAUGGUUCGAAAUUGAAAGGCGGCUUCGGCUGGCACUUAUGGAUGGACCCGCGUCGCAUUAGAUAGUUGGUGAGGUAACGGCUCACCAAGGCAACGAUGCGUAGCCGACCUGAGAGGGUGAUCGGCCACACUGGGACUGAGACACGGCCCAGACUCCUACGGGAGGCAGCAGUAGGGAAUCUUCCGCAAUGGACGAAAGUCUGACGGAGCAACGCCGCGUGAGUGAUGAAGGCUUUCGGGUCGUAAAACUCUGUUGUUAGGGAAGAACAAGUGCUAGUUGAAUAAGCUGACACCUUGACGGUACCUAACCAGAAAGCCACGGCUAACUACGUGCCAGCAGCCGCGGUAA
RNAcentral lists this ribosomal RNA (515 nucleotides) under uncultured bacterium. RNAcentral's name for it is "partial 16S ribosomal RNA". It matches the Rfam family "Bacterial small subunit ribosomal RNA", at positions 28 to 523 of the family's 1533-position model. The record is from RNAcentral.